RNAcentral lists this ribosomal RNA (496 nucleotides) under uncultured bacterium. Its description in RNAcentral is "partial 16S ribosomal RNA". It matches the Rfam family "Bacterial small subunit ribosomal RNA", at positions 28 to 507 of the family's 1533-position model. The record is from RNAcentral.
GAUGAACGCUGGCGGCGUGCCUAAUACAUGCAAGUCGAGCGAACAGACGAGGAGCUUGCUCCUCUGACGUUAGCGGCGGACGGGUGAGUAACACGUGGAUAACCUACCUAUAAGACUGGGAUAACUUCGGGAAACCGGAGCUAAUACCGGAUAAUAUAUUGAACCGCAUGGUUCAAUAGUGAAAGACGGUUUUGCUGUCACUUAUAGAUGGAUCCGCGCCGCAUUAGCUAGUUGGUAAGGUAACGGCUUACCAAGGCAACGAUGCGUAGCCGACCUGAGAGGGUGAUCGGCCACACUGGAACUGAGACACGGUCCAGACUCCUACGGGAGGCAGCAGUAGGGAUCUUCCGCAAUGGGCGAAAGCUUGACGGAGCAACGCCGCGUGAGUGAUGAAGGUCUUCGGAUCGUAAAACUCUGUUAUUAGGGAAGAACAAAUGCGUAAGUAACUAUGCACGUCUUGACGGUACCUAAUCAGAAAGCCACGGCUAACUACGUG